CGGGUCACACACGCGGGUCGCUGGGGCUAAAACGGCGCCGUUUGGAGCCACUGAUCAGACUCCAAACGGCGUCGUUUCACACAAAAGCAAACUCUAAAAACCCUAAAAAUCAGCAGCUACUAAACAAACUUAAAGAAAAAAAAAAAACUAAAUAAUAGCCUCCCCCCAGACUAAAACCUAAUCCCUCACAUCCUCAGCCGCCGCCUCCAAACCCAAAAAUCCGUCUAUCUCCGAUUGGGACGGAGUAAACGGAGCUCCGACGGCGCUCUCAGGUACAGUACGAGGACGUGGCGAGGUGCAACGUGCGGAGGUGCGCGUGGGAGGAGGCCACGCGUGGGAGCUUGCGGCGCCAGGGGAUCUAGAAACCCUAGGUGUUUCUGCUCUCAGGUUGGGAUUUGGGCUGAUUGGGCUUUCUGGAUAUUGGGUUAUAGAUUAGUGGGUUUGGGUUUUAGUUGGGUCUUUUGGGUUAGUGAUUUGGGUUAUAAUUUUGGGCUUGGUUUGUUAAGCAUUGGGCCCGGGCAAAAUUUGGGCCCUACAUCGUAUUAAAAGGAGUUAUGGUAA
Gossypium raimondii (Peruvian cotton) is the source of this 561-nucleotide long non-coding RNA. RefSeq lists it as uncharacterized. The transcript has 2 exons. NCBI's taxonomy places the organism in Eukaryota, Viridiplantae, Streptophyta, Magnoliopsida, Malvales, Malvaceae. The record is from RefSeq and is a predicted model, not a curated record.